AAAUCAAUACCUGAAUUAUUUUUAAAUUUUCUUUACCUACAGCAAUAUUUCUUCCAUGUAAAUCUAGUUGGAUCUUCUUCCUCUUCCUCUUCCUCUUCCUCUUUCCCUUCUCCUUCUCCUUCUUCCUCUUCCUCUUCCCCUUCCCCUUCUCCUUCUCCCUCCUCCUCUUCCUUCUCCUCUUCUUCCUCCUCCUCCUUCUUUCUUCUUUCUUCUUUCUUUUUCUUUUCUUUUCUUUUCUUUUCUUUUCUUUUCUUUUCUUUUCUUUUCUUUUCUUUUCUUCUUCUUCUUCUUCUUCUUCUUCUUCUUCUUCUUCUUCUUCUUCUUCUUCUUCUUCUUCUUCUUUUCUUCUUUUCUCUUCCUCCUCCUUCCUGUUGUAUAUCUUUUGAUCAUCUAAAAUAAUAAAAUUGUUAUAAUUGGUAUCUUUUAGAAGCUUAAAGUUCACAGAGCACUUUACCUACAU
RNAcentral lists this long non-coding RNA (460 nucleotides) under Monodelphis domestica (gray short-tailed opossum). RNAcentral's name for it is "lncRNA (ENSMODG00000036765.1)". The record is from RNAcentral. Lineage: Eukaryota; Metazoa; Chordata; Mammalia; Didelphimorphia; Didelphidae.